CAUCUCCCCUCUCUCUCUCUCGAUCGAUAGUUAUACACACGCACAUGCACACAGGGACAUCGUUCAAUUUCUACGGGUUCAUUGUAAACCCUAAUUGUGUAUAGAAAAAUGUAUUGCUUGGUUUCUCUCUCUCUUCUCUCGAUUCGUCACUUUUUCGAUCUAAGGUUUAGGGUGAAGAUUCGGCUCUUGUUGUACGUUAAUUUCUCAUGUGCCUUUCUCUCUGUAUGGAUAUGUAGGGUUUUGGGGUUUGACACUAGGUUUGGAUAAUUUUGUGUCGCUUUAUGAACCCUGAACUUCGAAUUCAUUGUGAGAGAAACAAGAGGUCUUGUAUGUUUGGAAACUUUCUUCUAAAGCAUUCAAUUUGUCAUGAAUUUCAGCCUCACCAUUCACUUUCCAUAGACAAGGAGAUAUAUGUGUUGUAUAGUCAUUAACAUAUUUAUGAGGAAAUAAGCCACAGCCAGGGGUACUAUUGAUGCAAUUGGAUUGAUCACCGACUAUGUUUCAGAGAUCCUCUGCUUGUUACCUGGAAAGCUUGGAAAAUGUGAUUAACAGUUUCGGAAUGGUCUAUAUGGAGCUCUAACUUGUGAUGGUAGUUUCUCUUGUUUGAUCGUCGACGGGCCUGGAGUGUAAAGAAAAUUUCUUGGUAAAUGCAGAAGAAUGAAAGUUCUU
Long non-coding RNA from Rhododendron vialii, 669 nucleotides. RefSeq lists it as uncharacterized. The transcript has 3 exons. The record is from RefSeq and is a predicted model, not a curated record. NCBI's taxonomy places the organism in Eukaryota, Viridiplantae, Streptophyta, Magnoliopsida, Ericales, Ericaceae.